Long non-coding RNA from Oncorhynchus keta (chum salmon), 1789 nucleotides. RefSeq lists it as uncharacterized. Lineage: Eukaryota; Metazoa; Chordata; Actinopteri; Salmoniformes; Salmonidae. The transcript is spliced from 3 exons. The record is from RefSeq and is a predicted model, not a curated record.
CAGAAAGACUGCGAUCAUUGAUCCUUCCACAGAAAGAUUUCCCUACUGAGGGAUUGAGGCCAACGUUAAUGUCCAGGAGGAUAUUGAUUGGAUACAAAGGUCUAUGAUAGAUGUAGGUUGCGUGCCAUUUAGGAUGCUAUUCAGGAUGACAUUUGUAAUUCAUAUGUCGUGUGAAUUACAUAUAAAAGCUACAAAACGUCAUUCUCCAUAUGAAAUGCGGAUGGUAUUUGCUAUGGAAAUGAUCUACUGUAUGAAGUAUGCAUUCAGCAUUCUCUUAUGGAAGGUUCUUCAGUAAUCUGUCACAGCAUUCUCUUAAGAGAGGUUCUCCAGGAAUCUAUCACAACAUUCUCUUACGGGAGGUUCUCCAGGAAGCUAUCAGAACAUUCUCUUACAGAAGGUUCUUCCAGGGAAUCUGUCACAACAUUCUCUUACGGAAGGUUCUUCCAGGGAAUCUGUCACAACAUUCUCUUACGGAAGGUUCUUCCAGGGAAUCUGUCACAACAUUCUCUUACGGAAGGUUCUUCCAGGGAAUCUGUCACAACAUUCUCUUACGGAAGGUUCUUCCAGGGAAUCUGUCACAACAUUCUCUUACGGAAGGUUCUUCCAGGGAAUCUGUCACAACAUUCUCUUACGGAAGGUUCUUCCAGGGAAUCUGUCACAACAUUCUCUUACGGAAGGUUCUUCCAGGGAAUCUGUCACAACAUUCUCUUACGGAAGGUUCUUCCAGGGAAUCUGUCACAACAUUCUUUUACGGAAGGUUCUUCCAGGGAAUCUGUCACAACAUUCUCUUACGGAAGGUUCUUCCAGGGAAUCUGUCACAACAUUCUCUUACGGAAGGUUCUUCCAGGGAAUCUGUCACAACAUUCUUUUACGGAAGGUUCUUCCAGGGAAUCUGUCACAACAUUCUCUUACGGAAGGUUCAAUGGUUUUUCAUAUUUAAACAAGAGAGUUUCUUUGUUUUAAACACAAUGGAUAUUUCUUUGCAUGUAGAGAGUCUAGGAUUAUGAAGGUAUAUACAUUAAAUGAAUGUACAGUGACCUCACAUAGAUAGGAAAACUACAGUAGAGCUAACAAUGCAGUAAAAAUAUAUCUAAAUGUUCAGACAGAAAGUUCAACGAUUAGAGAGAACAACCUCGCUCUACAGACCAGGGUGAUAUGUUACAUACCGCUGUGAACAGGACCUCGUUGGGUUGGCAAAUGGACUUCAUGACAGAUGGGUAUUUUAACGGGCUAACAAGUAUUGGUAGUCGCUGCUGUCAUUAACAACACUGGACCUAUGUUUAAACUAAUGUGUCUAAAAUGGCAUCCUAUUCCCUACAUAGUGCACUACUGUAGACCAGAACCCUAUUCCCUACAUAGUGCACUACUAUAGACCAGAGCCCUAUUCCCUAUAUAGUGCACUACUAUAGACCAGAGCCCUAUUCCCUAUAUAGUGCACUACUAUAGACCAGAGCCCUAUUCCCUAUAUAGUGCACUACUAUAGACCAGAGCCCUAUUCCCUAUAUAGUGCACUACUAUAGACCAGAGCCCUAUUCCCUAUAUAGUGCACUACUAUAGACCAGAGCCCUAUUCCCUAUAUAGUGCACUACUAUAGACCAGAGCCCUAUUCCCUAUAUAGUGCACUACUAUAGACCAGAGCCCUAUUCCCUAUAUAGUGCACUACUAUAGACCAGAGCCCUAUUCCCUAUAUAGUGCACUACUAUAGACCAGAGCCCUAUUCCCUAUAUAGUGCACUACUAUAGACCAGAGCCCUAUUCCCUAUAUAGUGCACUACUAUAGACCAGAGCCC